GGAAUUUUGGACAAUGGGCGCAAGCCUGAUCCAGCAAUGCCGCGUGAGUGAAGAAGGCCUUCGGGUUGUAAAGCUCUUUUGUCAGGGAAGAAACGGUGAGGGCUAAUAUCCCUUGCUAAUGACGGUACCUGAAGAAUAAGCACCGGCUAACUACGUGCCAGCAGCCGCGGUAAUACGUAGGGUGCAAGCGUUAAUCGGAAUUACUGGGCGUAAAGCGUGCGCAGGCGGUUUUGUAAGUCUGAUGUGAAAUCCCCGGGCUCAACCUGGGAAUUGCAUUGGAGACUGCAAGGCUAGAAUCUGGCAGAGGGGGGUAGAAUUCCACGUGUAGCAGUGAAAUGCGUAGAUAUGUGGAGGAACACCGAUGGCGAAGGCAGCCCCCUGGGUCAAGAUUGACGCUCAUGCACGAAAGCGUGGGGAGCAAACAGGAUUAGAUACCCUGG
This 440-nucleotide ribosomal RNA is filed under the name uncultured Janthinobacterium sp. RNAcentral's name for it is "bacterial SSU rRNA". It matches the Rfam family "Bacterial small subunit ribosomal RNA", at positions 358 to 790 of the family's 1533-position model. Lineage: Bacteria; Pseudomonadati; Pseudomonadota; Betaproteobacteria; Burkholderiales; Oxalobacteraceae. The record is from RNAcentral.